This is a long non-coding RNA of Cynara cardunculus var. scolymus (artichoke), 1329 nucleotides long. RefSeq lists it as uncharacterized. The record is from RefSeq and is a predicted model, not a curated record. The transcript has 8 exons. Lineage: Eukaryota; Viridiplantae; Streptophyta; Magnoliopsida; Asterales; Asteraceae.
AGGUUAAAUGGAGGGCGAAGGACCAGGGUGAACUAUGUGUUUGGGAGUUUGCGGGUGGUGGUUGGAGCCAACCGGUCAUUGCCCGUUCUCUCGGCCAUGGUUGAUCCCUUCUUAGCCAAACAAGCACUCUGAAUUUUCUAGAGAAUUCGACGUCUAUUGGAAUUUUCUAGAAAUUCUCUUUCCCAUUCUUUUCAUCAAAUCAGAAUCAUGGGUAUGGAUACAUCACCAUCUUACAUUCCAAGGAUAAUGUAUAAAACCGUACAACAAGGUGAAGGUGAGUAUCCCAGUUGAAACAAGCCAAAGAAACUGUGAAAGAAAGAGAAAUUAUCCUCCUUGUCCCUUGUGACAAGUGAAGAACUAUGUCCUUACUUCCAUCAAUGAUCAAAGAGAGGGGGCGUUGAAAUUUAACAAGUUUAAGAAAUUUUCUCUUGGGCUGCUCAACUGUUAACUAACCCCUCCAAACAAGAGACGUUGUGUUACUUAUCAUGCAACAGCAGCAAAAAGAGCUUCCAAAGAAGGGCCAAAAGGGAUAUGGGUAGAUCGUUGUAAAUCAUAUGCAAGCAAGAGUACAAGACCUGGCCUACGCUCAUUUAUCAGGCUGCAUAACCUGCCCAUUUCCGUAGAUCUCUAAUAAGCAUUGAAGUAUGAAGUCCGAAAAGUUCCAGCGAAGACGAUCGGCUGGAAAUAUCGACCCCGUUCGCCUGUCGGUAAGGUAAUUGAUGGGACAGAGAAUGGACUUGAGAUUUGCGGACAUGGGAUUUUUAUUCAAGUUGACAGAAUGACGAUACUCAAAGGUUGCACCUUGAUUCUGUCUGCCAAAAAAGGUUUAGCUAUCCCGGGGUGGAAUCCGAAGAAAAUGGCGAAUACCAAUCUUUUUGCGAAUCGAUUCCCAUCGAUCUCGUUCACAAAUAUCUAGCAGAAUCACGAAAAUGCUCGGUUGGUUGGCUUUAAAAUUUCUGAAGUUCGCUGCUUGCCACGUCUUCUUUUUGGUUUCGUGAAUGAAAUUAGUUUGUUCGUUUUAGCCAAGUGACUAUGGAUCUUGUUCCAGACAUGGAAUUAGAUAUUAAUCGAAUCGGCGGCUUGGGGAUCGUUUCUCGACGUUUUGGAUACGAGCCUCUUCAAACAGGGCUUAUUGCUAUUGUUUCAAUGAUUCCGAUAGGACGUGGUCAGCGAGGAUUACGUAUAAAAGAUCUUGCAAACGGGUUUUGUUAAUUACGAUUUCUAGAUCAAUUUAAAUGUUAGAACUUGUUUUGAUGUAAAACCUAUAUCGGUAUUUGUAGUAAUUGUAUCAAUAUAAUUAAUAUAUUAAAUAUUUACGAGAUCAAGAAA